UACGAAGGGUGCUAGCGUUGUUCGGAAUCACUGGGCGUAAAGCGCGCGUAGGCGGCUUAUCAAGUCAGGGGUGAAAUCCUUGGGCUCAACCCAAGAAUUGCCUUUGAAACUGAUAAGCUAGAGUACUGGAGGGGAUAGCGGAAUUGCUAAUGUAGCGGUGAAAUGCGUAGAUAUUAGCAGGAACACCGGUGGCGAAGGCGGCUAUCUGGACAGUAACUGACGCUGAGGCGCGAAAGCGUGGGGAUCAAACAGG
RNAcentral lists this ribosomal RNA (253 nucleotides) under uncultured bacterium. Its description in RNAcentral is "partial 16S ribosomal RNA". It matches the Rfam family "Bacterial small subunit ribosomal RNA", at positions 524 to 776 of the family's 1533-position model. The record is from RNAcentral.